AAGUCGUAACAAGGUUUCCGUAGGUGAACCUGCGGAAGGAUCAUUAUCGUAACAACGGAGGCGUGAGGGCUGUCGCUGACCUGAACCCUCAGGUCGUGCACGCCCGAGCGUUCUCUUACAUCCAUCUCACCCCAAUGUGCACCACCGCGUGGGGUCCCCCUUUGGCUUGUUCGGAGGGGGGCUUUACGUUUUCACACAAACUUGUAUGCAGUGUAGAAUGUACCUUUGUUUUGCGAUCACGCAAUUAAUACAACUUUCAACAACGGAUCUCUUGGCUCUC
RNAcentral lists this unclassified non-coding RNA (280 nucleotides) under Russula atropurpurea. RNAcentral describes it as "partial internal transcribed spacer region". The stretch from base 1 to 46 matches the Rfam family "Eukaryotic small subunit ribosomal RNA", at positions 1786 to 1831 of the family's 1831-position model. The record is from RNAcentral. Lineage: Eukaryota; Fungi; Basidiomycota; Agaricomycetes; Russulales; Russulaceae.